Molecule: RNA transcript, 1803 nt
Organism: Triticum aestivum (bread wheat)
Lineage: Eukaryota; Viridiplantae; Streptophyta; Magnoliopsida; Poales; Poaceae
Exons: 4
Source: RefSeq, a predicted model, not a curated record
ACGGUCUCAUGGGCUCUGGCCAGCAGCGGGGGAUAUCGUCACUUUCGACCUGGGCUUGACUGACCGCACACCCUGCACGACCUGUGAGCGAGAUGACGACGACCAGCUUCCUCCCCCGCUCCGAGGCGGCGCCGCCGCUGGACGACGACGACCUGCUCUCCGAGAUCCUCCUCCGCCUCCCCCCGCAGCCGUCCUCCCUCCCGCGCGCCUCCCUCGUCUGCAGGCGCUGGCGCAGCCUCCUCUCCGACCCCGCCUUCCGCCGCCGCUUCCGCAUCCACCACCGCCGCAGCCCUCCGCUCCUGGGCUUCAUCGACGCGAACCAGGGCAUCACCUUCCAGCCAGCCCUGGACGCCCCCGACCGCCUCCCCCGCGGCCACUUCUCCCUCAACCUCGACGACCGCUACAUGACCCUCGGAUGGCGCCAUGGCCUCGCGCUCUUCUUCCUCCCGAUCUCGCUCCAGGUCGUCGUGUGGGACGCCGUCGCCGGCGUCCAGCACCGCCUGGCCGUGCCCCCGGGGUUCGGGUUCCACCCGUUGGAGAACCCCAUCAACGGGACGGUGCUCCGCGCCGCCGGAGAAAUCGACCACUUCCAGGUGGUCUUGGUAAGCAGCGACGGGAAGCAACCUAGAAGAGCGCUCGCCCGUGUUUACUCGUCGGAGACCGGCGUAUGGGGUGAUUCCAUCUCGUGCCCGGUUCCAUUGGUGUCUAUGGUUCAUAUAGGCGAGCCCGCUGUACUGGCGGGGGAUUGCAUUUAUUGGUUGGUUUCAGCAUCGAAUAUCCUCGAGUUUGAUUUGGAUAGGCAGACCCUAGCUGUGACAUUGUUGCCAGCGCAGCUGCUUACCAGCAGCAAUCGCCAUGUCGGGGUUAUGCGGGCAGAGGGUGGUGGGAUGGGUCUCGUCGUCGUGUCAGGCUUCAUCGCCCAGUUAUGGAAGAGGGAGACAGACUGGCAUGGCGUUGUUUCAUGGAUCCCUGGAAGAACUAUUGAACUGGACAAGUUACUUCCCCCAAAUUCAGAGAAAGAGCCACCGAAUAUGAUAGGUUAUGCGGAGGAAAAUAAUGUGGCCUUCUUCUGGACAGUUGUUGGUGUCUUCAUGGUCCACCUCGAGUCAUGGCAGCUCAAGAAACUUUCUGCGACCGGCAUCGCUUAUCGUUACUAUCCAUUCGAAAUUGUCUAUACUCCAGGCAUUGGUGGUGGACAUGAGGGAGCGAAAGUUGGUAGGCAUUUGUGGUGGACACGGUGGAGACAAUACAUAAGACAAUUAUUCAGUUAGACAUGAUAUUAUAAUGUACUGGUCGAGCAGAGUAAAAAGGACCGGAGGGAGUAAUUUGGUGCUGGUAGAUGGUCCAGUUGCGAUCGUUUUGAGUGACAAAUAGGAUCUGAGUGAGUCUGAUCUGGUUACCAGAGUGAAAUCUCCGGGUAUAAUGAGUAUCUUCAUGUUCCCUUGGUACAAAUUUCUGAAUGGACCAAAUAAUGUUCUCUGUACUGAAAUUUCCGGGUAUAAUGAGUGAAAUCUCCGGGUAUAAUGAGUAUCUUCAUGUUCACUUGCCAUAUCUGCUAGCAAACUGAUAAUUACUGUUUGAACUACAACAAAGGAAAUUCUGCAUUGGUCGGCGGCAUGAGGCUUCGUCCGUGUGAUAACCACUUUGUACUUGUUAUAAGAACUCAUUUGUAUGUGUAUCUUACCGCUUUGGCGGUGUUAGUAUAAGAACAUGCGUGUUCUCUUAUGGUACUGUUCAUCAGAUUUUUCUUAUGUAUAUAUAAGUAUCUGUGGAAUAUUUAUGGAGAAUGGUAAGGUUGCUUUA